This 1854-nucleotide long non-coding RNA is filed under the name Ananas comosus (pineapple). Its description in RNAcentral is "long non-coding RNA (ACOM_LNC041635)". The record is from RNAcentral. Lineage: Eukaryota; Viridiplantae; Streptophyta; Magnoliopsida; Poales; Bromeliaceae.
AAUAAUAAAUAAAAAUAGUGUGAGAAACUAUUUUUAUUAGAUUUAUAGAGGUAAAACAUAAGUCAGAGGUGACUUGUGCUGAAAUCGGAAUUAAAACAGAAGAUUUAGAAUUUUCUGUUGGAAACGGGACAGAUAAAUUAGCAGAAAAUGCACAGUCUCAGAAAAUUAUGAAAAUUGGCAGAGAUGUCAGAAAUAUUUUUAUGAGGCUAGAUUUAAAGUUUCAUAUUUUUCUGACACCCGAAAGGUGGAAAAUAAAAUCCCACAGUUAUCUGUUAAAGAUUACAGUUCGGUACAGUUUUCGGUAACCGAACGGGGUCGAAACUGAACCAGUGAUCGUCAGCUUGUUAAGUUAAGUAAAACCGAUCAUGACUGUCAAGUUUGAGCUCAAACAGACAUUCAGGGAGCUCUGGCGAAAGAUAUCAGAUUUCGAACUGCCCGAAAGUGAAUAGUGUUUUGGGGUGUAAUGUAUAAAGAAGCUUUUUGCUUCUUUCUCCUUCAGCCGACCACCAUGGCCACCCACGCGCGCAUGGAGAAGGGAGAGAGAAACCCUUCUUUCUCUCUCUAGAUUGCUCUCUCAUCUCUCUAUAUUUAUCGCUCAAAUUCGCGGCGUUGGUGGAGAAGAUGCUUGCGAACGCGUUGGAGGCGACGGAUUGAGCUUUCGUGCGCCCAUUGGAGCGGCGUGUUUUCGUCGCGGCGUUCACGUUGUGGUAAGCUUUUGGGAUUUGGCUUAAUCCUUAGCUUAAAGUGUUCUAAUAGCCUCUAAUGAGUAUUGUAAACAUGUUUCCUCAUUUAAUUUGGGCUAUUUGGGAGUUAUGCAUAUGUUAGGUUUAAAAUGGUAGAACCUUAGAGCUUUAAUUAUAUGCUCUAGGAAUGGGUUUAGAGGACUCCCUAUAUGAUAUCCACAUGCUAAUUGCUUGGAUCAUGAAUCAAUUUUGAAGCUUAUUGCAAUAGUAGCAUGUUAGGGCUCCAAUUUUGGGGUUUUAUAAAAUGUAUGGGUUUGAUCUAAAUUGACCCUAUGUAAACCUAAUUGCUAGGUAAACGAACGCGUUGGCGAAGACGGUUCGGCAAUCCGACGAGCCGUUACAAAGUUGUUAAAGAAACGGACGUUUAGGCUUCGUUACCGCCUGGAGGGCCGAGGCGACGUCGUAAAAUCAUGGAAAUGGAUUUGAAGCACCGUGGCACAUAAUCGAAGACCUUUAAUUUUCGGAUCGUGGAUCGGAGGCCGUUCGGGUAGUCGCGCAAAAGAUCGGGCCAAACCGGAUUACGGGUGCCGCGGGAGGCCGAUUGCAAGUAUCGACAAGCAAUCGGAAAGCGUUUUGAGGUGGGUUGUGCUCACCGAAGCGAUUAGGUCGCUUUCCAUGCUAAAGUGUAGUAUGUUUACUAUUGAUGCAUGAUAAAGUAUGCUAUUUAAGAAUGCAUGAUAAAGAUUAAAGUAUGUCAUUUACGAAUGCAUGAUAAAGAUUAAAGUAUGUCUUUUAAGAAUGCAUGAUAAAGAUUAAAGUAUGUCAUUUAAGAAUGCAUGAUAAAGAUUAAAGUAUGCUAUUUAAGAAUGCAUGAUAAAGAUUAAAGUAUGCUAUUUAAGAAUGCAUGAUAAAGAUAGAUGUCAAGUAAAUGCAUGAGUUGAUGUUAAUUUACAUGAGUAUAUUAUAGAAAUGCUAAACAGAUGUCAAAUGUAAGUAUGAGAUUUAUACUAACCGAGAAUGCAUGUGGUAAAUGUUAAUGAAUGCAUAAAAUGCUAAAUGAUGACUACCAAUGGAUGACAAAAUAUCCACAUAAUGAACUUAGAUCGAGUGGCAUUUGGAAAUGGUAAAGUGGACACUAGAGUUAGUGUGGGACAUCAAAGAAUAAAUGUUG